GGCGAAGCAAGCUGCAGGGUCUGGAGGGGAGAGAGAAUUUGUGCUGCUGCCCUCUGGGACGCUCUUGAUCUCUCCUACCCUGGACUCCAGCUACCCUUCUGAAGAGGACUUGGAGGAAAUUGACGCUUCCCUGAGGAAAAGUAUCCAAACAAAGGUUCCAGUUGAUCUUCUCAUCCAUAAAUGUCUAAGGAGUAACUCUAUGAACAGAUUAUCCCUGGCAAAUUGAAGUAUAGAAUUGAGGCCGAUGGGGUUCAGGACGUGCUACCUGAAAAUAUGGCACGUUGACAUUUGAGAAAACCUUGGAAACAGGAAGGUCUCUCUUACCUUCUCCUCUCUCUUCUCCCCUGAAGAAGGUCAUUAAACCCUCGCUGGAGAGAUGCCCUGUACAUACCCAGAGAAAGCAAACAUUCUUAUACCUGAAGACACAGACACAGAUAAGAAUCUGAAUAACAGGCCUUCCUAAAUUCCCUGCAGCUUAUUGCCAUUAAAUCAGACCUCCAUUAUCCAAUCAUACUUCUCACUGACUGAUCACCUUUUCAUCAAACCUAAGAUUAAAAAACACAAGUUUACCUGUUUCUUUGGGUCUUCAUUUCUUUAUGAAAGUUCCCUUGUCACAAAAAACUUGCAUUAAAUAAACUCGUAUGCUUUUGUUUUCUUGUUAGUCUGUCUUUUGUUAUAGGUGCCACAGCCAAGAACCUUGCAACAGGUAAAGAAAGCAGUUUUUUCCUCCCCUACAAGGUGUAUAUCCUUGCAACAUAGACACUUGCUUUUGAAUGGAUUGUUUGCUGCUACAGACUACCUUUAAU
Molecule: long non-coding RNA, 806 nt
Filed under: Macaca nemestrina (pig-tailed macaque)
Lineage: Eukaryota; Metazoa; Chordata; Mammalia; Primates; Cercopithecidae
Description: lncRNA (ENSMNEG00000045962.1)
Source: RNAcentral